GCGGGCGUGGCGGAAUUGGCAGACGCGCCAGAUUUAGGUUCUGGUGGGGUAACUCGUGAAGGUUCAAGUCCUUUCGCCCGCA
This 82-nucleotide transfer RNA is filed under the name Slackia heliotrinireducens DSM 20476. It matches the Rfam family "tRNA". Rfam says of the family: Transfer RNA (tRNA) molecules are approximately 80 nucleotides in length. Their secondary structure includes four short double-helical elements and three loops (D, anti-codon, and T loops). Lineage: Bacteria; Bacillati; Actinomycetota; Coriobacteriia; Eggerthellales; Eggerthellaceae. The record is from Rfam by way of RNAcentral.